This 729-nucleotide ribosomal RNA is filed under the name Luteoperenniporia bannaensis. RNAcentral's name for it is "eukaryotic LSU rRNA". The stretch from base 283 to 436 matches the Rfam family "5.8S ribosomal RNA". The record is from RNAcentral. Lineage: Eukaryota; Fungi; Basidiomycota; Agaricomycetes; Polyporales; Polyporaceae.
AUAUGAAGAGAUAAAAGCGUAACAAGGUUUCCGUAGGUGAACCUGCGGAAGGAUCAUUAUCGAGUUUUGAAACGGGUUGUAGCUGGCCUUUUAUACUUUAGGCAUGUGCACACCCUGCUCAUCCACUUUUACACCUGUGCACUCAUUGUGGGUUUUUCUGGUCGGACGGCGGACAUGCAGGUUUUGGCUUGCAGAGAGUCAUCUUUUCCGGGGCCCAUGUUUUUAUCACAAACCCUGUUCAGUGUUAGAAUGAUUUAUUGCGAUGUUAACGCAUUUAUAUACAACUUUCAGCAACGGAUCUCUUGGCUCUCGCAUCGAUGAAGAACGCAGCGAAAUGCGAUAAGUAAUGUGAAUUGCAGAAUUCAGUGAAUCAUCGAAUCUUUGAACGCACCUUGCGCUCCUUGGUAUUCCGAGGAGCAUGCCUGUUUGAGUGUCAUGAAAUUCUCAACCUACAAAAGUCUUUGCGGAUUUUUUGCAGGCUUGGACUUGGAGGCUUGCCGGCCCUUACUACAGCUUGGUCGGCUCCUCUCAAAUGCAUUAGCUUGGUUCCUUGCGGAUCGGCUUUCGGUGUGAUAAUUGUCUACGCCGUGACCGUGAAGCAUAUAUAUAUAUAUGUAUAUGUAUAUAUAUUUGGGCAAGCUUCUAAUCGUCUCUUGAGAAAGAGAGACAGCUUAUCGAAAUCUGACCUCAAAUCAGGUAGGACUACCCGCUGAACUUAAGCAUAUCAAA